Molecule: ribosomal RNA, 301 nt
Filed under: uncultured bacterium
Lineage: Bacteria
Description: partial 16S ribosomal RNA
Rfam family: Bacterial small subunit ribosomal RNA
Source: RNAcentral
CAGUCGCCGCGGUAACACGGAGGGUGCAAGCGUUACUCGGAAUUACUGGGCGUAAAGCGUGCGUAGGUGGUUGUUUAAGUCUGUUGUGAAAGCCCUGGGCUCAACCUGGGAAUUGCAGUGGAUACUGGGCGACUAGAGUGUGGUAGAGGGUAGUGGAAUUCCCGGUGUAGCAGUGAAAUGCGUAGAGAUCGGGAGGAACAUCCAUGGCGAAGGCAGCUACCUGGACCAACACUGACGCUGAGGCUCGAAAGCGUGGGGAGCAAACAGGAUUAGAUACCCCCGUAGUCCCUGUCUCUUAUAC